AGUGGACAAGAAGGCUGCUGGAGCUGGCAAGGUCACCAAGUCUGCCCAGAAAGCUCUGAAGGCUAAAUGAAUAUUAUCCCUAAUACCUGCCAACCUACUCUUAAUCAGUGGUGGAAGAAUGGUCUCAGAACUGCUUGUUUCAAUUGGCCAUUUAAGUUUAGUAGUAAAAGACUGGUUAAUGAUACCAAUGCAUCGUAAAACCUUCAGAAGGAAAGGAGAAUGUUUUGUGGACCACUUUGGUUUUCUUUUUUGUGUGUGGCAGUUUUAAGUUAUUAGUUUUUAAAAUCAGUACUUUUUAAUGGGAACAACUUGACCAAAAAUUUGUCACAGAAUUUUGAGACCCAUUAAAAAAGUUUCA
This 358-nucleotide long non-coding RNA is filed under the name Homo sapiens (human). RNAcentral's name for it is "HSALNT0205567". Lineage: Eukaryota; Metazoa; Chordata; Mammalia; Primates; Hominidae. The record is from RNAcentral.